UAGUCCACGCCGUAAACGAUGAGUGUUAGAUGUCCGAGGUAGACUUGGGUGUCCCAAGCAAACGCGAUAAACACUCCGCCUGGGGAGUACGUACGCAAGUAUGAAACUCAAAGGAAUUGACGGGGACCCGCACAAGCAGCGGAGCAUGUGGUUUAAUUCGACGCAACGCGAAGAACCUUACCAAGUCUUGACAUAACUUUGAAGUCCUUUAGAGAUAGAGGAUGAUUGACUUCGGUCAACAAAGCUAC
RNAcentral lists this ribosomal RNA (248 nucleotides) under uncultured bacterium. Its description in RNAcentral is "partial 16S ribosomal RNA". It matches the Rfam family "Bacterial small subunit ribosomal RNA", at positions 791 to 1035 of the family's 1533-position model. The record is from RNAcentral.